GAACCAUUUCUUGUAGUGAUCUCAACCUUUAUUAUUGAACAGGAAAUAGUUGCAGAAAUAAACUAAUGAAAUAAUUUUCUCAGAAGAGUCCCAACAAUUUGCAUUAACUAUUAACAUGGUUGCAAAACUUCAGUAGUAAAGAGGGUACCAUGUUUCUUUUGUCUUUACUUGACUGGAAUUACAACAUGAAGCACAUGAACAAAACAUACGAACAAGCAAUCCCAUAAACGCUCUUGAAUCUUGUUUAUACUUUUCUUGUAUAAUAACAUGUGGGGGAAGAGCAUUACCAUGAUGGGAUCUGAAUCAUUAAUGAUCUCAAUCGAAGCAUACAACCUGGACAAUGUAGACUAAAUCUGGAGAAAAAAUAUUACUUGUCCACAAGGGUGAGAUUGACCUACACAUUGCCAAACAACCCUUUACAAUCACUUGGUUCAGAUCUUCCCUACAAGGUGAUGAGCAUUCCGCUACAGCAAACAAAUAGAAUUAAAUUCAAAAUAUAACCAGUUUUAUGGAGACUACUACAAGGCAAGUUUAGCUAAUAAGACUUCUAUAGCAUGCAAGAUGUUUCUUAGAUCAACAAAACCAAGAACAAGAGCUAUGAUAGCGAACCCUUGAGCAACAUAUAAUGAGUAGGGUAUUCAAAGAAGGUCAUAUCUUCCACACAAGGUUGAUCAGAACAAGAAAUAAUCAAGUCUACUAAUAUAUUACUGAAUCACAUAGCAUCAUAGGAGAAAACAAUGAUUCAAGUUUAAAUAAGACAUACAUAUAUGCUAAGGAAAAGUAAGUCACAACCAAAAGCAUUUUGACUUCCAUUUAUUUGCACACGCAAAAUCAUCAGGUGCUCACAGUUUAGAUCAGGUAAGGUAAUUUUGUAGCUCCCCACUGUUGCUGGCCUAACAAGACUCGUCCUCCAACAUAACAACAUAUUUGAAAUCUCCAUUACAGUAAAUAAAUGAGAGGACAGUGCAUAAGUCACAUCAUAUUAUACAAGCAAGCUAAAUCUAGGAUUUGUGGUCGAUGGUGUAUAUACAUGCACAUAGAGGAGGCUGGAGUUGUGGAAGUCAAACAUACUUGCCAGCAC
RNAcentral lists this long non-coding RNA (1081 nucleotides) under Triticum aestivum (bread wheat). Its description in RNAcentral is "long non-coding RNA (TAES_LNC005404)". The record is from RNAcentral. Lineage: Eukaryota; Viridiplantae; Streptophyta; Magnoliopsida; Poales; Poaceae.